This 460-nucleotide ribosomal RNA is filed under the name uncultured bacterium. RNAcentral's name for it is "partial 16S ribosomal RNA". It matches the Rfam family "Bacterial small subunit ribosomal RNA", at positions 338 to 795 of the family's 1533-position model. The record is from RNAcentral.
CCUACGGGAGGCAGCAGUGGGGAAUAUUGGACAAUGGGCGCGAGCCUGAACCAGCCAAGUAGCGUGAAGGAUGACUGCCCUACGGGUGGUAAACUUCUUUUAUAAAGGAAUAAAGUGAGGCACGUGUGCCUUUUUGUAUGUACUUUAUGAAUAAGGAUCGGCUAACUCGGUGCCAGCAGCCGCGGUAAUACGGAGGAUACGAGCGUUAUCCGGAUUGAUUGGGUUUAAAGGGAGCGUAGAUGGGUUGUUAAGUCAGUUGUGAAAGUUUGCGGCUCAACCGUAAAAUUGCAAUUGAUACUGGCAGCCUUGAGUACAGUUGAGGUAGGCAGAAUUCGUGGUGUAGCGGUGAAAUGCUUAGAUAUCACGAAGAACUCCGAUGGCGAAGGCAGCUUACUAAACUGCCACUGACAUUGAUGCUCGAAAGUGUGGGUAUCAAACAGGAUUAGAUACCCCUGUAGUC